Molecule: small RNA, 127 nt
Filed under: Marmota monax (woodchuck)
Lineage: Eukaryota; Metazoa; Chordata; Mammalia; Rodentia; Sciuridae
Source: RNAcentral
GCCAGGUGUGGUGGCACAUGCCUGUAAUCCAAGCAGCUCAGGAGGCUGAGGCAGGAGGAUCGUGAGUUCAAAGCCAGCCUCGGCAAUUUAGCAAGGCCCUAAGUAACUUGGCAAGACCCUGUCUCUA